CCUACGGGUGGCAGCAGUAGGGAAUCUUCCACAAUGGGCGAAAGCCUGAUGGAGCAACGCCGCGUGGGUGAAGAAGGUCUUCGGAUCGUAAAACCCUGUUGUUAGAGAAGAAAGUGCGUGAGAGUAACUGUUCACGUUUCGACGGUAUCUACCCAGAAAGCCACGGCUAACUACGUGCCAGCAGCCGCGGUAAUACGUAGGUGGCAAGCGUUAUCCGGAUUUAUUGGGCGUAAAGGGAACGCAGGCGGUCUUUUAAGUCUGAUGUGAAAGCCUUCGGCUUAACCGGGGUAGUGCAUUGGAAACUGGGAGACGUGAGUGCAGAAGAGGAGAGUGGAACUCCAGGUGUAGGGGUGAAAUGCGUAGAUAUAUGGAAGAACACCAGUGGCGAAAGCGGCUCUCUGGUCUGUAACUGACGCUGAGGUUCGAAAGCGUGGGUAGCAAACAGGAUUAGAUACCCCGGUAGUC
This 465-nucleotide ribosomal RNA is filed under the name uncultured bacterium. Its description in RNAcentral is "partial 16S ribosomal RNA". It matches the Rfam family "Bacterial small subunit ribosomal RNA", at positions 338 to 795 of the family's 1533-position model. The record is from RNAcentral.